CCUACAGAUUCAAAUUAGGUAUUUUUAAUUGAAGUCCAACUUAUAAUAUUUAUUUAAUAAUGAAAAUUUGUGUUAUUAAUGUUUUAUACUUUUCUUUUUAUUAAAUUUAAUAUUGUAUAUUGUGUUAUACUCAGAUAACUGCAGCAGCUAAUUCAAAAGAUUAUAAGGAGACCUUGUCAACAUUUUUGAACAAUAAUAAUGAAGAGGGAAAGGAAAUAUUAAUUUCCUAUCAACAAAAUGGAAAAUUAUUAAUUUCAAAAACUCGUAAAGCUUUGGUUGAUUUGAUUAUUCGCAGAGAAAAAAAUGAGGUUUUAAAAAACUUGAAACGUGGAGAAAAAUUGGAGUCCUGGAGCAUUUCAAAAUCGCGGUUUACAGAAUUAUCUUUAGAAAUUAAAACGCUAUUUGAUGGAGAAUCAGCUUCCACAUAUUAUGUUCCAUUUUCUUGUGAACAAGGAAAUCAUUUAGAUGCUGGAGGGAAUUUGUAUGCUCAUCAUUAUGCACAAAGUUUGAUGCGAGUGUCAGGUAUUCUUAUUGGAAGUAAAAAAAAAAGAAACCGCAAUUCAAUCACAAAAUAUUGUUUUAGAUUAAAUUGGAUUUUAACAAAGGCAACGAAAAUACUUCGUCAAAGCUUUUUCAAAAGUGGCAAAAAAUUAGAGGAUACUUGAUUAAUAAAUUACAAACAGUAAAAUCAACAACUAUUGAAGAUGCAGCACUUUUAAGAGUCAUCACAGGAUUAUCGUGUGGUAUAUAAUGUCAUUAAAACUGAGGGAUCCACUUAACGCAAGAGACAAUUAUGUUACAUCCACAUGACAGAACUAUUUUAAUUCAGAAACAAGAUGUUAUUAUUUACCAUUUAUUGCAUUACAUUACAACGUCAGACAAGAGGAAAAGUAAUGACUAUCAAUCACUGAAUGUUUUAGAAUUUCGAAGAUUAAGUGUUUUUGAAAAAAGAAGUGGCUAUCUUCUGCAUGUUGAAGUAAGCAGUUAAUUUAAAGAUUCAAAUAAUUUUGAUAGAAUAAUUUUUUAGAAUACAACGGAACUAGAGACUAAAUUGACUGAACUCAGGAAUUCAUUGAAGUCUAGAAAUUUAAAACUUCAACCUCUAAUUGCAAUAGUUUCUGGAGAAAGGCUUUCUACACACAGUCGCGUUUUACAAGGAGAAAAAAAAUUUUAAAUUCUGUUUAGAUCUCGAAAAAACACAAUCAAAUUUAUGUAAAAAAUUUAGAUAAUUUUUAAUUUUACUAGUUAUAAACGGGAAAAAAUAAUUUAUUUAAAUCUUUGCUGGAUUAAAACCAAAUAUUGUUUUUGUUAAAAAUUUUUGU
Molecule: long non-coding RNA, 1322 nt
Organism: Leptopilina boulardi
Lineage: Eukaryota; Metazoa; Arthropoda; Insecta; Hymenoptera; Figitidae
Exons: 4
Source: RefSeq, a predicted model, not a curated record